Alexandromys fortis (reed vole) is the source of this 1321-nucleotide long non-coding RNA. RefSeq lists it as uncharacterized. NCBI's taxonomy places the organism in Eukaryota, Metazoa, Chordata, Mammalia, Rodentia, Cricetidae. The transcript has 3 exons. The record is from RefSeq and is a predicted model, not a curated record.
CGUAGGAAUCUGUCGUUUUAACUCUUGGCCAGAAGUCAUUUACGUUCUGCGGCGCAAUCAACUGGCUUUGGAGUCACUUAGGAGGCACAGCUCUGGUGUCUGUGUGAUUCUGUAAAGCUCUUACUGAGGAGAGAAGACCCAUCUCGAUUGCUGGAACCCAGGCUGAAGAAAAAGGGACAAAGGAUCUGAGACAAGAGUAUGUCCACCGCUCUUCUGGACCCUGUGCUGGCACACGCUCCCAGCCCUAACCUCUGUGACUUAAAUUUUUGGUUGUGAGCCUAGCCUCUAACAACUGAGCCAUCCCUCCAGGCCCUAGCCUCUGUGACUUAAGCGAACUAUAAGGUGCCUGGGGAUGAAUUCAGAGAAAGCCACUAAGAUGACUAAUAGCUCAAAACAGUCACCUUUGGGGAACAGGAAUGAGUCAGCCGGGACAAAAGAUGUCUAGAGGGUGACUGAACAAGGAUUCCUUAUACAAAGGACUGGAAGGACACAGAGGCAGGGAAAUGGAAGCCACUGGUCCAGUCCUGGGAGGCCUACCACGUUAGACAACCAGGCUGCCUCUGAGUUGCAAGCCCAACCCUGGUUUUGUUUUCUGAUACAACCUCACUAAGUAGCCUAGGCUGGUCUUGAACUGACUAUGUGGCCCAAGCUGGCCUCUAACUUGUUAUCUCCUUGACUCCCAAAUGCCAAUAUUUUUAGUUCUAUACGGCCACACCUGGCUUUGUGGAAUCCCUUUUGAAUGCUGAGUAUCCACCAUGCUCCCCGUGUAUGCAGGAGGGAAGAAGGCAAAUUCAGGAAAGGAUGGGCUGGGCUGAUGACAAGAGCCACAGGUGGUGGGGUGGGUGUAGGCCUUUCUGUGUUCGCGCUCCUCUCAGUGCGAUGUUCUCUCUUCCCAUUGAUGUGUUUGCAACUGACUGAUAAUCGAAUUCUUUUUGAAAUUCCAUAAUCCAGUACUCUCUUCUGUACUCUGUCAAAAUUAUUCUCUCAAGUUGCCACAGUGAGAUUUUCUAUUUCAUGUCAAGCAUUUUUGGAAUCAUAAAAAUGUUAUUCUUCGUAGACGUAUAUGAAUUCUGGAAAGUAGUUCUGCAGCGACUCACAUCUGGACUCGGGAUGGAAGAGAAGGAGAUAUAAAAUGAAAGGAAUUCAUCAGCUUCAAUGAAAUACUUGGGGAUGUUAUGUAUGAAUUAAGUUACAAAUGAGGUUGAAUGAAAGUUGUUUUUUUUUAAGUUCCUUUUUAUAAACUAAAAGAUGAGCAUUAAAACAAAAUCCUUGUCAGGCAUGGUUGAGCACACGUGCAAUCACAGUGCUUGGGAGGAAGAAG